Molecule: ribosomal RNA, 468 nt
Filed under: uncultured bacterium
Lineage: Bacteria
Description: partial 16S ribosomal RNA
Rfam family: Bacterial small subunit ribosomal RNA
Source: RNAcentral
GGCGAACGCUGGCGGCGUGCUUAACACAUGCAAGUCGAACGGAAAGGCCCUGCUUUUGUGGGGUGCUCGAGUGGCGAACGGGUGAGUAACACGUGAGUAACCUGCCCUUGACUUUGGGAUAACUUCAGGAAACUGGGGCUAAUACCGGAUAGGAGCUCCUGCUGCAUGGUGGGGGUUGGAAAGUUUCGGCGGUUGGGGAUGGACUCGCGGCUUAUCAGCUUGUUGGUGGGGUAGUGGCUUACCAAGGCUUUGACGGGUAGCCGGCCUGAGAGGGUGACUGGCCACAUUGGGACUGAGAUACGGCCCAGACUCCUACGGGAGGCAGCAGUGGGGAAUAUUGCACAAUGGGCGGAAGCCUGAUGCAGCAACGCCGCGUGCGGGAUGACGGCCUUCGGGUUGUAAACCGCUUUCGCCUGUGACGAAGCGUGAGUGACGGUAAUGGGUAAAGAAGCACCGGCUAACUACGUG